AAAUAGCUCCGUUGGGAGAGCGUUAGACUGAAGAUCUAAAUGUCCCCGGUGUUCGAUCCCGGGUUU
RNAcentral lists this transfer RNA (66 nucleotides) under Habropoda laboriosa. It matches the Rfam family "tRNA", at positions 5 to 66 of the family's 71-position model. Rfam says of the family: Transfer RNA (tRNA) molecules are approximately 80 nucleotides in length. Lineage: Eukaryota; Metazoa; Arthropoda; Insecta; Hymenoptera; Apidae. The record is from Rfam by way of RNAcentral.